This 465-nucleotide ribosomal RNA is filed under the name uncultured bacterium. RNAcentral's name for it is "partial 16S ribosomal RNA". It matches the Rfam family "Bacterial small subunit ribosomal RNA", at positions 338 to 795 of the family's 1533-position model. The record is from RNAcentral.
CCUACGGGUGGCAGCAGUAGGGAAUCUUCCACAAUGGGCGAAAGCCUGAUGGAGCAACGCCGCGUGGGUGAAGAAGGUCUUCGGAUCGUAAAACCCUGUUGUUAGAGAAGAAAGUGCGUGCGAGUAACCGUUCACGUGUCGACGGUAUCUAACCAGAUAGCCUCGGCGAAAUACGUGCCAGCAGCCGCGGCAAUACGUAGGUGGCAAGCGUUAUCCGGAUUUAUUGGGCGUAAAGGGAGCGCAGGCGGUCUUUUAAGUCUGAUGUGAAAGCCUUCGGCUUAACCGGAGAAGUGCAUUGGAAACUGGGAGACUUGAGUGCAGGAGAGGGGAGUGGAACUCGAUGUGUAGCGGUGAAAUGCGUAGAUAUAAGGAAGAACACCAGUGGCGAAGGCGGCACACUGGACUGUAACUGACGCUGAGGUUCGAAAGCGUGGGUAGCAAACAGGAUUAGAUACCCGAGUAGUC